This 111-nucleotide transfer RNA is filed under the name Candidatus Woesearchaeota archaeon. Its description in RNAcentral is "tRNA-Phe". It matches the Rfam family "tRNA". From Rfam's summary of the family: Transfer RNA (tRNA) molecules are approximately 80 nucleotides in length. Their secondary structure includes four short double-helical elements and three loops (D, anti-codon, and T loops). Further hydrogen bonds mediate the characteristic L-shaped molecular structure. tRNAs have two regions of fundamental functional importance: the anti-codon, which is responsible for specific mRNA codon recognition, and the 3' end, to which the tRNAs corresponding amino acid is attached (by aminoacyl-tRNA synthetases). tRNAs cope with the degeneracy of the genetic code in two manners: having more than one tRNA (with a specific anti-codon) for a particular amino acid; and 'wobble' base-pairing, i.e. permitting non-standard base-pairing at the 3rd anti-codon position. The record is from RNAcentral. Lineage: Archaea; Nanobdellati; Candidatus Woesearchaeota.
GCCGAGGUAGCCUAAUUGGUUAAGGCGCCCACCUGAAAAGUGGGUUGGGUACCAACCAAUACCCUUAUGGGUUCGAGGUUAUGGGGGUUAACGAAAUUCCCAUCCUCGGCG